AUUGAACGCUGGCGGCAUGCCUUACACAUGCAAGUCGAACGGUAACGGGCCUUCGGGUGCCGACGAGUGGCGCACGGGUGAGAAAUACAUCGGAACGUGCCCGAUCGUGGGGGAUAACGAGGCGAAAGCUUUGCUAAUACCGCAUACGAUCUACGGAUGAAAGCAGGGGACCGCAAGGCCUUGCGCGGACGGAGCGGCCGAUGGCAGAUUAGGUAGUUGGUGGGAUAAAAGCUUACCAAGCCGACGAUCUGUAGCUGGUCUGAGAGGAUGAUCAGCCACACUGGGACUGAGACACGGCCCAGACUCCUACGGGAGGCAGCAGUGGGGAAUUUUGGACAAUGGGCGCAAGCCUGAUCCAGCCAUGCCGCGUGCAGGAUGAAGGCCUUCGGGUUGUAAACUGCUUUUGUACGGAACGAAAAGCCUUCUUUUAAUACAGGAGGGUCAUGACGGUACCGUAAGAAUAAGCACCGGCUAACUACGUG
Molecule: ribosomal RNA, 482 nt
Filed under: uncultured bacterium
Lineage: Bacteria
Description: partial 16S ribosomal RNA
Rfam family: Bacterial small subunit ribosomal RNA
Source: RNAcentral